RNAcentral lists this ribosomal RNA (1517 nucleotides) under metagenome. Its description in RNAcentral is "bacterial LSU rRNA". It matches the Rfam family "Archaeal large subunit ribosomal RNA", at positions 1423 to 2973 of the family's 2987-position model. The record is from RNAcentral.
CCCAAUCCGCCGCAGGGGCUAGGUUUCCUCGACAAUGUUCGUCAGUCGAGGGUUAGUCGGUCCUAAGACGUACCGUAAUUCGAGUACGCCGAAAGGGAAACAGGUUAAUAUUCCUGUACCUGUAUCAAACAAUCCUGACGCUUUCGGAUAGGCAUUGCGGAGUCAUCGCUCCGUCUAAGCCGGAUAUGAAAUUGGAGUACCGUAAUGGUGAGAAUUUUUCAAAACGGUGAUGGGGUAACAAUGCUGAUUCCAGGAGCCCGUGAAAAGGGUGAUACGGUCCGUACCGAGAACUGACACAGGUGCCCCUCGCUGAGAAGGCGAAGGCGUGUCGGGAGUAAAUGUGUUAAGGGAACUCGGCAAAUUAGCCCUGUAACUUUGGGAUAAGGGGUGCCUGCCCAGCGAUUGGGCAGGUCGCAGUGACAAGAUCGCUCCGACUGUCUAAUAACAACAUAGCAGACUGCAACUCCGAAAGGACUCGUAUAGUCUGUGAUUCCUGCCCCGUGCGAGUAUCUGAACAUCGGGUUCAACCGGACGAAGGACUCGUAAACGGCGGGGGUAACAAUGACCCUCUUAAGGUAGCGUAGUACCUUGUCGCUUAAUUGGCGACUUGCAUGAAUGGAAUAACGAGAGCGAUACUGUCCCUAACACAUACCCGUUGAACCUUUUGUACUAGUGCAGAGACUAGUGACUCCUUAUGGGAAGUGAAGACCCCGUGGAGCUUUACUGCAGCCUGUCGUUGGGUUACGGUAUUACCUGCGCAGGGUAGAUGGGAGACGUCGAUCCAACCCUUGUGGGGGUUGGUUAGUCACCGAUGAGACACCAUCCUGGUUUUAUUGUAAUUCUAACUGAUUUAUCAGGACAUCGAUAGGUAGGCAGUUUGGGUGGGGCGCCACACCCUCGAAAAAAUAUCAAGAGUGCCCUAAGGUCAACUCAAGCGGGUCAGAAACCCGCUGAAGAGUGUCAAGAGCAAAAGUUGGCCUGACGCGAUUUCGCAUAGCAAGAAAUCGCGAGAGGAAACUCGGGUCUAACGAACCAAUACGCCCUGUUGAUGAGGGCUAUUGACUACAGAAAAGCUACCCCGGGGAUAACAGAGUCGUCGCCGGCAAGAGCACAUAUCGACCCGGCGGCUUGCUACCUCGAUGUCGGUUCUUUCCAUCCUGGCUGUGCAGCAGCAGCCAAGGGUGAGGUUGUUCGCCUAUUAAAGGGGAUCGUGAGCUGGGUUUAGACCGUCGUGAGACAGGUCGGUUACUAUCUAUAAGGAGUGUUGGAAGUCUGAAGGCAAGAAUGAAAUAGUACGAGAGGAACUUUCAUUCGGCGCCACUGGUCUACCGGUUGUCUGACAAGGCAACGACGGGCAGCUACGCGCCAAGAGAUAAAAGCUGAAAGCAUCUAAGCUUGAAACUCAGCCUGAACAAGAGACUUCAUUAAAGACACGGGUAAAAGACCCGGUUGAUAGGUUCGGGAUGUACGCACGAAGGCAACGACGUGUUCAGUCCGCGAAUACUAAUCGUCUUAAU